AUGCGUGUGUGUGUGUGUGUGUGUGUGUGUGUGUGUGUUGGGGGGUGCAUUCUUUUAGACCUGUGCCCCCCCUCCCCCAGCAGCCCCAGCUUCCUCGCAACCUCCAGCACCUGUCCCUCCGGGGCUACACGCCGGGCGCAGCCCUCGCGGAUACACUCAGUGACACACGCUUCCUCCUCCCCGAACACCACCAGCUGCCUCCGAAGCUUGUGUUCGUGUCGGAAAGCGGGCUGGGGUGGGGGCAGGACACGAACCGUCUCACCAAUGAAGCCGGUUCCCAGCCGGCGUCCUCGCCCCCUCCCUGCCGGCGCCUUCGCUGCCCCUCCCCCCCCAAGUCGCCGCCGUCCGGCUCCCCGCCCCGCACUCGCCCCCGCGCCCCCCGAGCCGCUCCCCGCCGGCCCCCGACCUGGGGCUCUCGGCGCGGGCCUCCGGCAGGGGGGGCCCCGACAGCGCGGGGCGGCCGGGGCAGAGCCCGGGGGAGCGGCGGCCCGAGCCCCGGAGGCCGGGACCGCGGGGGGAGGGAGGCCCGGAGGGAAGAGGGAGGGAAGGAGGAGGGCGGGCGAGCCGGAGCCGGAGCCGGAGCCGGAGCCGGAGCCGGAGCCCGAGCCCGAGCCCGAGCCCGAGCCCGAGCCCGAGCCCGAGCCGGCGGGAGCCCGGGCGAGCCGCUCGGGAGCGCGGUCCCCAUGGCAGUGCCGGGCGCGGCCAGAGGUAAGACGACCCCGGCCCGGCCCCGGCCCCGGCCCCGCCCGGCCCCCUCCCCGCCUCCCCCACGCCGCCGCCGCCGCCGCCGCCUCCUCUCCCCUCCGGCCGGCCCCUCCUCCCCAGCCACCUGCUGUCACUGCCCGGGAGCAGAGGGUGGGUGGCGGGAGGGAGGAGCCGCCUGACCUUACCCCUUCACCCCGAAGGGCGAGGGACCCCUGCCCGCGGCAGAGUCCCCCAGAAACCCCCGCCUUCCUCUGUCCUUCACCUCCUCUCUGUCCUUCACAUCCUUCCUGCCUCCCUCCCUCUCUGACUCCCCAUCUCUUUCUUCCCGAGCCCACCCGCUGGGGCUGGGGUGGGGGGGGUAGGUGGGAAGGGGUGCCAGGCUGUAGAGGAGAGUAG
RNAcentral lists this long non-coding RNA (1101 nucleotides) under Canis lupus familiaris (dog). Its description in RNAcentral is "lncRNA (ENSCAFG00030022280.1)". Lineage: Eukaryota; Metazoa; Chordata; Mammalia; Carnivora; Canidae. The record is from RNAcentral.